CACGCCGUAAACGAUGAGUACUAGGUGUAGGGGGUAUCGACCCCCCCUGUGCCGCAGUAAACACAAUAAGUACUCCGCCUGGGAAGUACGAUCGCAAGAUUAAAACUCAAAGGAAUUGACGGGGACCCGCACAAGCAGCGGAGCAUGUGGUUUAAUUCGACGCAACGCGAAGAACCUUACCAAGGCUUGACAUUGAGUGAAAGGCUAAGAGAUUAGCCCCUCUCUUCGGAGACACGAAAACAGGUGG
RNAcentral lists this ribosomal RNA (247 nucleotides) under uncultured bacterium. RNAcentral's name for it is "partial 16S ribosomal RNA". It matches the Rfam family "Bacterial small subunit ribosomal RNA", at positions 796 to 1041 of the family's 1533-position model. The record is from RNAcentral.